AGCGAACGCUGGCGGCAGGCCUAAUACAUGCAAGUCGAGCGGCCGUAGCAAUACGGCAGCGGCAGACGGGAGAGUAACACGUGGGAACGUACCUUUCGGUUCGGAACAACCCAGGGAAACUUGGGCUAAUACCGGAUACGUCCGUAAGGAGGAAGAUUUAUCGCCGAAAGAUCGGCCCGCGUCUGAUUAGCUUGUUGGUGAGGUAACGGCUCACCAAGGCGACGAUCAGUAGCUGGUCUGAGAGGAUGAUCAGCCUCACUGGGACUGAGACACGGCCCAGACUCCUACGGGAGGCAGCAGUAGGGAAUAUUGGACAAUGGGCGCAAGCUUGAUCCAGCCAUGCCGCGUGAGUGAUGAAGGCCCUAGGGUUGUAAAGCUCUUUCGGCGGGGAAGAUAAUGACGGUACCCGCAGAAGAAGCCCCGGCUAACUUCGUGCCAGCAGCCGCAGUAA
RNAcentral lists this ribosomal RNA (451 nucleotides) under uncultured bacterium. RNAcentral's name for it is "partial 16S ribosomal RNA". It matches the Rfam family "Bacterial small subunit ribosomal RNA", at positions 29 to 523 of the family's 1533-position model. The record is from RNAcentral.